UCCUAGCCCUGAUGGAAGCGGCAUCCUUUUUCUGGCUCCUUUAGCCAGGAAAGAUACAGCGGACAGCAGGUAUCAGC
This 77-nucleotide small RNA is filed under the name Flavobacterium sp. 270. RNAcentral's name for it is "Flavo-1 RNA". It matches the Rfam family "Flavo-1 RNA". The record is from RNAcentral. Lineage: Bacteria; Pseudomonadati; Bacteroidota; Flavobacteriia; Flavobacteriales; Flavobacteriaceae.